RNAcentral lists this long non-coding RNA (204 nucleotides) under Nicotiana benthamiana. RNAcentral describes it as "long non-coding RNA (NBEN_LNC027583)". The record is from RNAcentral. Lineage: Eukaryota; Viridiplantae; Streptophyta; Magnoliopsida; Solanales; Solanaceae.
GAAAAGCUGCAUUACGAAAACAAAGGGGAAAUUAGAAACACAAGCAAAACAAAACAAAAUAAUAAAGCAUAGGUACUCCCGCAGAAAUAAAGUAAAUAUGUAUGAAGGCAUAAGCAACAUAAAUACAGUCACAUGCAUUAGUGCAAUAAUAACAAGCCGUAACUACCAUACUAACACUCAUAAGGAGACAUAAGCUAAAACACU